CACAAGCGGUGGAGCAUGUGGUUUAAUUCGAUGCAACGCGAAGAACCUUACCUGGUCCUGACAUCCCGGAGACCCUUAGGAAACUAGGGGGUGCUUCCAUCUGGAAGAAUCUGGAGACAGGUGCUGCAUGGCUGUCGUCAGCUCGUGUCGUGAGAUGUUGGGUUAAGUCCCGCAACGAGCGCAACCCUUGCCUUUAGUUGCCAGCAGUUCGGCUGGGCACUCUAAAGGGACUGCCGGUGUUAAACCGGAGGAAGGUGGGGAUGACGUCAAGUCCUCAUGGCCUUUAUGACCAGGGCUACACACGUACUACAAUGGCCGAUACAAAGGGCAGCGACACUGCGAGGUGAAGCCAAUCCCGUAAAAUCGGUCUCAGUCCGGAUUGGAGUCUGCAACUCGACUCCAUGAAGUUGGAAUCGCUAGUAAUCGUGGAUCAGCAUGCCACGGUGAAUACGUUCCCGGGCCUU
RNAcentral lists this ribosomal RNA (464 nucleotides) under uncultured Desulfobulbus sp. Its description in RNAcentral is "bacterial SSU rRNA". It matches the Rfam family "Bacterial small subunit ribosomal RNA", at positions 924 to 1382 of the family's 1533-position model. Lineage: Bacteria; Pseudomonadati; Thermodesulfobacteriota; Desulfobulbia; Desulfobulbales; Desulfobulbaceae. The record is from RNAcentral.